RNAcentral lists this transfer RNA (359 nucleotides) under uncultured Microcystis sp. Its description in RNAcentral is "partial 16S-23S ribosomal RNA intergenic spacer". The stretch from base 135 to 208 matches the Rfam family "tRNA". The record is from RNAcentral. Lineage: Bacteria; Bacillati; Cyanobacteriota; Cyanophyceae; Chroococcales; Microcystaceae.
AAGGGAGACCUAAUUCAGGUAGGAGACGAAAAAAAAGUAGUCCCUACCAGGAAUCAAUCCCAAAAGGUCGGAGCGAGGCGAAAUUGGCUUUCAAACUAGGUUCUGGGUUCGAACAAGACCUGAAUCAGGAACAAGGGCUAUUAGCUCAGGUGGUUAGAGCGCACCCCUGAUAAGGGUGAGGUCCCUGGUUCGAGUCCAGGAUGGCCCACCUGCACAGGUGGCAAAAACAAGAGAAGCGAGGAAUCAGCACCUUAUCUUACUGACAUAGUAAGAGAGAAUGCUGGCUCUGAGUAAAGAGUCCAGAGGAACCUUGAAAACUGCAUAGAGCUAGGUGAAAAAGCCAAAAAAGAAGACCGCAA